AGAGAGGAUACACCUGUUCCCAUUCCGAACACAGAAGUUAAGCUCUCUAGCGCUGAUGGUACUUGGUGGGAAACUGCCUGGGAGAGUAGGACAUAGCCAGGUG
Molecule: ribosomal RNA, 103 nt
Filed under: Clostridioides difficile
Lineage: Bacteria; Bacillati; Bacillota; Clostridia; Peptostreptococcales; Peptostreptococcaceae
Source: RNAcentral